RNAcentral lists this ribosomal RNA (253 nucleotides) under uncultured bacterium. Its description in RNAcentral is "partial 16S ribosomal RNA". It matches the Rfam family "Bacterial small subunit ribosomal RNA", at positions 524 to 776 of the family's 1533-position model. The record is from RNAcentral.
UACGGAGGGAGCUAGCGUUGUUCGGAAUUACUGGGCGUAAAGCGCACGUAGGCGGCUCUGUAAGUUAGAGGUGAAAGCCCGGGGCUCAACCCCGGAAUUGCCUUUAAGACUGCAUCGCUUGAAUCCGGGAGAGGUGAGUGGAAUUCCGAGUGUAGAGGUGAAAUUCGUAGAUAUUCGGAAGAACACCAGUGGCGAAGGCGGCUCACUGGACCGGCAUUGACGCUGAGGUGCGAAAGCGUGGGGAGCAAACGGG